Helianthus annuus (common sunflower) is the source of this 2447-nucleotide long non-coding RNA. RefSeq lists it as uncharacterized. Lineage: Eukaryota; Viridiplantae; Streptophyta; Magnoliopsida; Asterales; Asteraceae. The transcript has 5 exons. The record is from RefSeq and is a predicted model, not a curated record.
GUGGUGUUACUUUUCAAUUGGGCCGCUUUUUAGAAGCCACGCGUAGGGCUUCUAUCAACACCAUCUGCCACACAUUCAAAAACCUGAUAAAAAACCACCGCGUAGGAGAGAGAUUGAUAAAAACCCACCGCAUCAAAGAGAGAGAGAGAGAGAGCGUGCACGAAGGAACAAAAUCAGGUGGCUGAUGACGACGAUGACGAUGGAUUCGGGGUAACAGUUAAGGUCUGAGAUGAACCGACGAUAGGUACGAACACAGAUCCGGGAAGCCGGAAACGAGGGAGAUGAGCGGCGGUGGGUUUUCUCGCCGGUUCCGCAUGUGAGAUAGGCUCGCAAUUUCAGGUAAUCUCUUGGUUUUCUCAUUUUCAACCACAGAGAGAGACUGUGGUGGUUGUUGUUCCGCUGCGACCUACCACCGGCGACCAUUCCAGGGACGGCACCAACGUCUCGAUGACGGCGGCCAGUCCCAGGCGGUCUAGGGUUUUGAUCGACUAUUAUCGGCCAGUCCCAGGCGGUCUAGGGUUUUGAUCAGCGGUCUCAAUAAUGACUACAGAGGCCUCCAGCAGGCGUGAAACAACUGCUUGGCUCCCGGAGAUGUAUAUUCCGAACUCUAACCCUGACAAUUGGGCAUAUGGUAUGUACGCCCUAUUACAGCCUUAUUUUUUUAACAAUCAUACUGGGAUUAUUUUUUUACAAAAUAGUUGUGGUCGCUUUUAGUGUUAACUCUUAAAUUGCAUAAUUGAUUUCAUUUUAUUUUGUUUUGGUUUCAAUCUAAUAUUGGUACCUUUUUGCAACAUUGAUAUAGUAAACAACCAUUAUUGUAAAUCCAAUCAGAUUUGCGUGCGACCAACCUGUUCUUUUACGAAAUUAGUAAAUUUGUUCAUCAACAAAGCUGAUAGGCUGCUUGACUACUCUCAGUUGAUGAUUAUUGGUACAACGCUUCAUCAUUCUACAUCACAGUCGCACCAUGAUGGCGGUUAUUUUAGACGAUUAUGGUUUUCAAUUUGGUUUCGACAGAUGAUGAUUUGCCGACAUCCUUCAUGCAAUCAUUUUCAUCGAUUGAGGUAUAUACAUGUGAUUUUGUGUGUAUUAUUAGCAGGGCAGGUUGUAUUAAAUAGGAUUUUGGUUGACUUCGAUUGAGUGUUUUUCCCUUUUAUGUGAUUGUAGAUUGCAUAUAUUCACCGGAAAUUCACGUUUUCACUUCCGCUCUUCGCAUUCGGGGAGAGAAAGUCAGAAACCAGAUAAAACGAGAGGGAGAUGUGGAAGAACGGCCAGUGUUCAGGAAACGGCAGGUCUCUGGUGAAUGACCUUACGAAUGCUCACCUACCACCCAUGGAACCUCAGAUGCACGGGGAUGAGAGCGGUGAUGAGGUGGUGGCUCGAAGUCGAAACAGAGACGGAGACGGAGAGGGUAAAGACGGUGGCAGCGAAGUCGAAACAAAGACGGAGAGGGUAAAGACGGUGGCGGCUCAAGGGUUUUCCGGUGGUCUCCGUUUGUUUCCGGCAAAGAUGGUAAAAACCCGAACCUUAGUUCUUUUCCCGGUGAACUAGAUUCUGUUAACGAUCGGUGGUUGCAGCGGUGUCAUGGCGGUGGUGGUGGUUCCGGCGAGAUAUCACGGCGACGAUGGUGGUUAGUAACCCUAGCCGCCGCCUUCGGUGAGGUGCUCUUUUGAAGGUGAAGGGGUGAUUGAUUCAGGUUGUGGAGAUUGUGAUUGAGGAAGGGGAAGACGAGGACAGCCAAGCAGCACCUUCCAGUGGUGUCGGCUACUCAACAGGUCCAGCAUUUUCGACACUAAAGCUGGCAUUGCAUUGAACAACAACUUUUUGAGAAUGAGGUUACAGUAACCAUGUGGUCGACUUGAUUUGCCACAUAGCACGAGUUAGCGUGGUUGUCAUGAGCGCAGUUUUUCCUAUCACGCUGUGACUAUCACCGCUGAUUAAGAAAUUUGUAGGGCUUACAGGUGAUACUUGCAGUUCAGAGAAGAAUACCAGGUUCUAUUUGAUGGUAGAAUAUGACAAGGAACAGAUGCAUUCAAAGCUUUAACCCUCGGUGCAAAGCGGUUAUGGUUGGGCGAGCGAUGGUGUAUGGGUUAACAACAAAAGGUGAGUAUGGAGUAAAUACAGUGAUCGAGAUGUUGAAGGACGAACCUGAGUUCACAAUGGCUCUUUCCGGCUGCCCCACUCUCAACAAUGCUACCAGGAAUCAUAUCAGAACUUAGGCCGGUAAACGCUAUUGUAGAUUGCAGUUUUAAAGUAUCUUAUGAAGAAUCAUUUGAUAUUAAUUUAUAUAAUCCAGAAUAAUAAAUUGAAGGUACUAAUGGAUCGUCUAAGACUAGAUUUGUUUUGUGUUGGAAAUUAAAAAAUAGUUGCUUUGUUCAAAAGUAUUGCACUUUAAUACUUUCUUUUCCAAAUUCAAAUGAUUUGAAUGCUAAUUGGAGUUUGUUAAGCGG